Molecule: long non-coding RNA, 1265 nt
Organism: Agrilus planipennis (emerald ash borer)
Lineage: Eukaryota; Metazoa; Arthropoda; Insecta; Coleoptera; Buprestidae
Exons: 4
Source: RefSeq, a predicted model, not a curated record
UUAAUAUGUUUGUGCCUUCCUGUUUAUGUAUUAUUCUUGUUUGGGUGUGUUAGUUUCGUAAUAUUUGAUAAAAUUAGAUGUUAUAAAAACAAGUCUUCAAAAUUAAGGUUUAAAGGGCGGAGAGAAUCGAUAUUCAAGGAUAAGAUAAGUUAUCUUUACAAAUCAAAAUAUGUUCUAUUUUCAAUGGAACCAGUUGGUUCUUUUACCUGCAGGAUGGUCUGAGUCUGCCUUCCAGACAAAGGUCCAAUUGCUGCAAAAACAAGGGAAACAUCUCAGAAUUGAAGCAGCGAGAUAGCAAGAAAGAACAUCGACAAUCUAUCAUUUUGACUUCUUCACAUGCUUUUGUUUUAUGAAAAACAUGUGAAUUUGAGAAAAAACAUAGCAAAGAGAUGCAAGAAAGUUCUAAUCCCUUCGUACUAAGGGGAGUACUAAGUCCGUAAUGGUGAAACCAUUCUAGUUGAUGUGUGUGGAUAAUGGCCUUCUGUCGAAGAAGUAUUGGUAUCAAAAACUUCCAUUUCCAUUCCAAUUACUGUAAAAACACGGGAAAUGCCUCAGAAAUGAAUAUAAUAGGAUACCAAGGCGAAAAUUAAUGAUAAUUUUCCAUCUUUAUAGAUUUAAGAAGUUUUUGAUUGUUUUAUAGGUAGGUACCAAGUAAAAACAAAUUGUUGUUUUGUAAAUUGUUUUAAUAGUAGACGUCGGAAAACUUUCCUUUGUUUGAGAUAUUUCUGUGUAUCUUUUUGUUUUAUGGAAAACAAGUGAUUUUAAGACAAAAUAUAACAGAUAUAUUCAUAGUUCUUGUUUCGAUCAGAGCGAACACCUAAUUUGGUAGUAAAUAAAAAGAGAUUGUUGGUUUAUAAGUUGUUUUAAUAGCUAACGUUAGAAAAUUUUAGUUUGUUUUAGAUACUUGUAUUUUUGUUUUAUGAAAGGAAAGUAUAUUUGGGACGAAAUAUAGCAAGUAAAAAUACCCAUAAAUAUACCAAGUAAAAAUACUCAUAAUUCUUGUUUUUAUCAGAACGAAUUCCUAAUUCUAAUACAUACCUAAUGUAGUGAGCCAUUAAAAGAACGCAUUUUGACGAAAACUGUUUUGAUCUGUGCCCUUUUACUAUUAAAAUUUUGUAAAAGCAUUCGGGAACCAUGUUUCUUUAAAAGUAGCGUCACUUGAAAAGACCGUCUCCGGCUGGAUAGUCAGAGAUAUGCAUGAAAUUCACAGCCAACUUUGUUGAUGUAGUUGAGAAAAUUUAAAAUAAAUAUAUUUGGAAUGUCAA